AGAAUCAACGCUGGCGGCGUGCCUAACACAUGCAAGUCGCACGAGAAAGGGUAGCAAUACCUGAGUAAAGUGGCGCACGGGUGAGUAACACGUGAAUAAUCUACCUCCGAGUGGGGAAUAACCUAGAGAAAUCUGGGCUAAUACCGCAUAACACUUACGAGUCAAAGCAGCAAUGCGCUUGGAGAGGAGUUCGCGGCAGAUUAGCUAGUUGGCGGGGUAAUGGCCCACCAAGGCGAUGAUCUGUAUCCGGCCUGAGAGGGCGCACGGACACACUGGAACUGAAACACGGUCCAGACUCCUACGGGAGGCAGCAGUGGGGAAUUUUGCGCAAUGGGGGAAACCCUGACGCAGCAACGCCGCGUGGAGGAUGAAAUCCCUUGGGAUGUAAACUCCUUUCGAUAGGGAAGAUAAUGGCGGUACCUAUAGAAGGAGCCCCGGCUAACGUUCGUGCCAGCAGCCGC
RNAcentral lists this ribosomal RNA (461 nucleotides) under uncultured bacterium. Its description in RNAcentral is "SSU rRNA". It matches the Rfam family "Bacterial small subunit ribosomal RNA", at positions 26 to 518 of the family's 1533-position model. The record is from RNAcentral.